RNAcentral lists this long non-coding RNA (470 nucleotides) under Cricetulus griseus (Chinese hamster). Its description in RNAcentral is "lncRNA (ENSCGRG00015036219.1)". Lineage: Eukaryota; Metazoa; Chordata; Mammalia; Rodentia; Cricetidae. The record is from RNAcentral.
GGGCGCUUUGCGAUGGAAAAGGUUUAUAUCCGCUUACAGUUUCAGAGGCCGGAAACUCCAGGAUCAGGCUGCUAGCAACUGCUCAGUUGUGUGAUCUGCCGUUGACACUCACUGGAGACCUGCUGGGGUGGAACUUAAGUGCCCAGACCACAGGGACUGGAAAGUUCAUGUUGAAACUGAAUCCCCACUGUACUGAGAGAAGGAACCUUCAUGAAGUGGCUAAGUCACAAGAGUGUCACACUCACGGGUGGAAACCCUAACUACAACAGAGCUGCAGGGACUCAUAAUCAUCUCUUCCUGUCCUUCUCUUCCGUGUGAGAAAGCAGCACUGAGGGACCACAGUGACACAGAGGGCCCUUACCUGACACCAAAGCUGUCACCAUCUUGUUCUUGGAGUUCUUGGUUUCUGGAACUAGGGAUAUAAAUUUGUGCUCUGUAUAGUUUACUCAGUCUCGGACUUCUUGUUAUAG